RNAcentral lists this ribosomal RNA (429 nucleotides) under Pseudomonadota bacterium. RNAcentral's name for it is "Proteobacteria bacterium partial 16S ribosomal RNA". It matches the Rfam family "Bacterial small subunit ribosomal RNA", at positions 355 to 776 of the family's 1533-position model. Lineage: Bacteria; Pseudomonadati; Pseudomonadota. The record is from RNAcentral.
UGGGGAAUAUUGGACAAUGGGCGAAAGCCUGAUCCAGCCAUGCCGCGUGUGUGAAGAAGGUCUUCGGAUUGUAAAGCACUUUAAGUUGGGAGGAAGGGCAGUAAGCGAAUACCUUGCUGUUUUGACGUUACCGACAGAAUAAGCACCGGCUAACUCUGUGCCAGCAGCCGCGGUAAUACAGAGGGUGCAAGCGUUAAUCGGAAUUACUGGGCGUAAAGCGCGCGUAGGUGGUUCGUUAAGUUGAAUGUGAAAGCCCCGGGCUCAACCUGGGAACUGCAACCAAAACUGGCGAGCUAGAGUAGGGCAGAGGGUGGUGGAAUUUCCUGUGUAGCGGUGAAAUGCGUAGAUAUAGGAAGGAACACCAGUGGCGAAGGCGACCACCUGGGCUCAUACUGACACUGAGGUGCGAAAGCGUGGGGAGCAAACAGG